UUCGUUAUGAAAUGGAGUGGUCGGUGUAUUGCAUAGUUCUAGAGAUUGAAUUUCACUCAAAACCCACCAAAUGACUCCUCCAACCAUAUUAUGAUGUUCCCCAAGUUUUGGACUCAAUCUGAUAUCAAUUGGUCCAUGAAAUUGGACAAGUCAAGUUCGUACGAAGUUUGUUCUGAAAUGAAGUGGUUUAUGUAUUUCAAAGUUUUAGCCAUUGGAUUUCACUCAAAAGUCACCAAAUGACUCCUCC
Molecule: long non-coding RNA, 247 nt
Filed under: Prunus persica (peach)
Lineage: Eukaryota; Viridiplantae; Streptophyta; Magnoliopsida; Rosales; Rosaceae
Description: long non-coding RNA (PPER_LNC003378)
Source: RNAcentral